UACGUAGGGGGCUAGCGUUGUCCGGAAUCAUUGGGCGUAAAGCGCGUGUAGGCGGUCCGGUAAGUCCGCUGUGAAAGUCGAGGGCUCAACCCUCGAAUGCCGGUGGAUACUGUCGGGCUAGAGUACGGAAGAGGCGACUGGAAUUCUUGGUGUAGCAGUGAAAUGCGCAGAUAUCAGGAGGAACACCGGUGGCGAAGGCGGAUCUCUGGGCCUGUUCUGACGCUGAGGCGCGAAAGCUAGGGGAGCGAACAGG
RNAcentral lists this ribosomal RNA (253 nucleotides) under uncultured bacterium. RNAcentral's name for it is "partial 16S ribosomal RNA". It matches the Rfam family "Bacterial small subunit ribosomal RNA", at positions 524 to 776 of the family's 1533-position model. The record is from RNAcentral.